This 421-nucleotide ribosomal RNA is filed under the name uncultured bacterium. RNAcentral describes it as "partial 16S ribosomal RNA". It matches the Rfam family "Bacterial small subunit ribosomal RNA", at positions 360 to 773 of the family's 1533-position model. The record is from RNAcentral.
AAUAUUGGACAAUGGGGGUAACCCUAUCCCAGCCAUGCCGUUUGGUUGAAUAAGGUCUCCUGAUUGUAAAUCACCUUAAGUCGGGAGGAAGGGCUUCAGGUUAAUCCCCUGACGUAUUGACGUUACCAACCGAAUAAGCACCUGCUAACUCUGACCCAGCAGCCGCGGUAAUAUGAAGGGUGCAAGCGUUAAUCGGAAUUACUGGGCGUAAAGCGCGCGUAGGUGGUUCAGUAAGAUGGGUGUGAAAUCCCCGGGCUUAACCUGGGAACUGCUUUCAUAACUGCUGAGCUAGAGUACGGUAGAGGGUAGUGGAAUUUCCUGUGUAGCGGUGAAAUGCGUAGAUAUAGGAAGGAACACCAGUGGCGAAGGCGACUACCUGGACUGAUACUGACACUGAGGUGCGAAAGCGUGGGGAGCAAAC